GCACCCGUAGCUCAGCUGGAUAGAGCGCUGCCCUCCGAAGGCAGAGGUCACAGGUUCGAAUCCUGUCUGGUGCGCCA
This 77-nucleotide transfer RNA is filed under the name Alphaproteobacteria bacterium. RNAcentral's name for it is "tRNA-Arg". It matches the Rfam family "tRNA". Rfam says of the family: Transfer RNA (tRNA) molecules are approximately 80 nucleotides in length. The record is from RNAcentral. Lineage: Bacteria; Pseudomonadati; Pseudomonadota; Alphaproteobacteria. RNAcentral also lists the same sequence under 1 other name.